RNAcentral lists this ribosomal RNA (492 nucleotides) under uncultured bacterium. RNAcentral's name for it is "partial 16S ribosomal RNA". It matches the Rfam family "Bacterial small subunit ribosomal RNA", at positions 29 to 507 of the family's 1533-position model. The record is from RNAcentral.
AGUGAACGCUUGCGGUAGGCCUAACACAUGCAAGUCGAACGGCAGCACAGUAAGAGCUUGCUCUUACGGGUGGCGAGUGGCGGACGGGUGAGGAAUACAUCGGAAUCUACUUUUUCGUGGGGGAUAACGUAGGGAAACUUACGCUAAUACCGCAUACGACCUACGGGUGAAAGCAGGGGAUCUUCGGACCUUGCGCGAUUGAAUGAGCCGAUGUCGGAUUAGCUAGUUGGCGGGGUAAAGGCCCACCAAGGCGACGAUCCGUAGCUGGUCUGAGAGGAUGAUCAGCCACACUGGAACUGAGACACGGUCCAGACUCCUACGGGAGGCAGCAGUGGGGAAUAUUGGACAAUGGGCGCAAGCCUGAUCCAGCCAUACCGCGUGGGUCAAGAAGGCCUUCGGGUUGUAAAGCCCUUUUGUUGGGAAAGAAAAGCAGCAGGUUAAUACCCCGCUGUUCUGACGGUACCCAAAGAAUAAGCACCGGCUAACUUCGUG